ACACCAGCAGGUGUUGGCCUCCAGCCCCGGCCUCUCCUGAACUUGAGGCCUGAAGUCACUACCUGCCUGACUACUGGCUUCCUCAGCUAACACCCACCCCCAUGGUCCCUCAUUCUUUGACACAACCUGUCCCAUCCUGGACCCAGGGAUUUGUCUGGAACCUGCCAACUGCUUUUGUCCCAGGUCACAACCUCCAACCCUGGGACUGACCUUAACCUGUCAGCCUAGCCUUCUCUGGUGGCAGUUCAGGGAGGUCAGCAAGGAAAGGUCCGGACCCCAACCGUCCUACAUCAAGCAGGAAGUGAGCCCCAUGGGCUCUGUGCGCCAGCUGCCAUCUUCCAUUCUUGUGUGCUCGGGGAGAGGGCUCCUGCUAAGGUCACCUGUGUCACCAGUCCCAAGGCGCUCCUCAGUCGUGGUUGUUCGCCUCGGGUGGCCUUUCUGGAGCGGUUCCCUCCCUCGGCAGGCACACCCAGGCCUCUGCAGACCCUGUCCUCAGAGCGGCUCACCUCAGGCACACCCUGCCUGCUCGUCACUCCCUGUCCCCGACAAGCUCCUGUACACACGCGGUUCUAAUUACCAGCUACUUCCAGAAGGCUCCAGAUCCACGUGUCCAACUUGAAUGUCCCAAACGCACCUCAGAUGUCCAACACCCAACUCACACCCAGCCCACCUCUCGCCUGCCCCAGUAAACACCCAGAGGAUGCUGACCCCUGCUCACUCUUCCUGUGUCCUAUCCUGUGACCAUCGACCAUGGGCAGUCCCAAGGGCAGCACCCUGGGGUCCAGUGGCAGGGGGGAGUCCCAGGUCAGGGAUUUUCUUUCUUUUUUUUGGUGAGUGUGUGUGGGGUGCUGGGGAUUGAACCCAGGGCCUUGCUCAUGCAAGGGAAGCACUCUACCAACUGAGCUCCAUCCCCAGCGCCCCAGAUCUUGGAUUUUGCCUUUGUAUAUUUGUAGACAACCUCCAGAUGCUUCUGACAUGACUGGGGCUCCAACAUGAAUGAAUGCUCGUUGGUGUUUUCUGUGUUAACCAGAUGAGGGGGACACCUCAGAGGCCUGUGUCAGACUUCAUGGGCUGAUGAUAUGCGUGACCUUGUGGAAUCAGUUUAUGAAUGUGGGAUGAAUUUCCUCAGUUUUUCAUGCUGUUCCCACUGUG
Molecule: long non-coding RNA, 1152 nt
Filed under: Marmota monax (woodchuck)
Lineage: Eukaryota; Metazoa; Chordata; Mammalia; Rodentia; Sciuridae
Source: RNAcentral